Felis catus (domestic cat) is the source of this 2999-nucleotide long non-coding RNA. RefSeq lists it as uncharacterized. The record is from RefSeq and is a predicted model, not a curated record. The transcript has 5 exons. NCBI's taxonomy places the organism in Eukaryota, Metazoa, Chordata, Mammalia, Carnivora, Felidae.
AUAGCAUUAACAGAGGAAGAUAAUUUAGCUUUUAUUUCACUGGGCAUACAAAGCAUGUGACUUCAUGCAAAAUAAAUUGUGUUAAGUUCAAGUGAGAAUUGAGGGUAAAGGUUUUGGCUCCUUUUGGCUUUUGUGAUUAGAUUCAAAAUAAUAAUUGGUGGGAAGAGGGGAAUCAAAGGCUCUUUCGGCCAAAUUCUGCUAGUUAUUCUUAAUAUCUGAAUUUUCUGCAGGCAGAGUUGAUUUUAAAAUCCUUCAAUAUACCUGUUUUGCUGUCUGUAGUCUUAACAAGAAGUUCUGCCUUUUGUAAUUUUUAAUUUUGUUUUCUAAAUAUUAAAUUCCUUCCUUGCUCAGGAAGUUCAUUUAAGAGGGACAAUAGUCUAUUACUUCACUGAUACUUGUUAAGUAAGUGAUAUAUAUUUAAUGUGUUGGGCAUCUGGAACUCUGAGGAGAGUGGAUUUUAUUCUUUUCCCAUUACUGUAGGAAGUAGAACAUUUACUCACCUACCCUACCUAGCCCAUGUGACAUCUAUAGGUCAAAGGGUGGAGGAUUACAUGGUAGUGAUGAGACCAAUUUUCUGACACAUGGAUUGCGUCUUUCAUAGAGAGAAAUGAUCACUGUUUAAGGGUAGGAUAGUAUAACAGUUAUGAGAAAUAGUGUAAAGGUAAAUAUUUAAAAAACAAGCCCUGGUCAGGGAGGAGGUGCUACGAAUUUUCAUGAUGUAACUAUUUCCCUCACAACCACCUUCAAGUUACAAACAUGACAUCAUUGAACAUGGACUUGGAAAAAGAUGUGCAGUCGCCACCAUUACAUAGGGUUUUGCCGUGCAGAUACAGAAAGACAUACAUAAACUCAAGAGCACUGAUAAUAGUCAAGUACAGUUAAAUAAUGAGGAAGUAAUAUGUUUUGACUACUUAUCACCUUUGUUUUCAAAUAAUUCAUUUAAUUGUAAAUUAACAUAAUUUGAUUUUUACUAAUGGCUAUGUUUAACAACUAAUUCAAAUAAGCCCUAAGAGCUUAAUAAUUGGCUUUUGUGAGCUAGCACCAGGUGUCUUCCAUACAUCAUUGGGUAAGAAUAGAAGAUUUAAAGUCAGAUAGUUUUGAAUUUGAUUCCUUGCUCUGCCACUUACAAGCUGUGUGGCCAUGUGAAAUUUGUAUUUCUUCCUUAAGUCUUAGUUUCCACAAAUGAAACGCUUAAGAGUAAAAAUUAUAACUACUUUGAAUAGUUGUGAGAAUUAAAUAAAAUUAUAGCUCCUCCUCUCUUGGAAAGUAAGGGCUCCAUGGCUAAAAAUUUCACAAAAUCCAGAACUGUAAUCACAAAGCAUUUUUUUUUUCUUUUUUAAGAGAGAAAGCUAUUAAGAGGAGUAUGCUCAGCUCCACCUAAUGAUGUAAUUUGCAUAAUUCAAUGGAAGAUAGGCAGACUUCUUUAAGGAUUCAGACUGUACUGUCACUGAGAAUGAACAUUUUUCCUUGGGUUAUGUGUAGCUUUGUUCCAACAGACAUUCCUUCUCCACUAAGCGGUAAGAUUGCAAAGAAGAUCCUACUUCUUAGAGAGUUCACACAUGCACUGCAGUGUUUCGUGAGACCUGUAGACUAAAGCUUCUUUUUUGAUUUCUCCUUUACAGAUUCUGUACAGGAGAAGGAAGAUUUCUCCUUUACCAGAUGGUAGAAGUGGGUGGAGAGUUAAUAGGUGAACCUGGAAAAGGAAGGGGGUGAUUUAAGAGACAGGCAUAAAUCUGAGGGUAGGGAACAAGACUAAAAACUAAAACAAAGGUUAGCAGCAGCUUUAUAUUGAUGAAGUCCCUGAGGUUCAGAAACAACUGAAUGCCUAUAGCCUCCUAGAAAGUGUAUAGGUGCUGGGGUUGAGCGCCUUGGUUCUGGAAUUAGAGAAGCUGGGUUUAAGUGCUACACCUUCCACUUAUUGACUGACAUUAGUUCCCUACAAAGAAUAGCCUGCUCCAGUGCUGGCCUGAGAUUUGGACCACAACAAAUGCUCAGCGUGGCAAGAGACAGAGAAGAAGGGCAGAAGUAGAGGGAAAGAGAGAAUCUUAAGCACACUGCACAUCCAGCACAGAACUCGAUGCAGGGCUCUGUAAGGGGCUCCAUGAGAUCAUGACCUGAGCUGAAAUCAAGAGUCCUAUGCUUUUUCGACUGAGCCACCCAGGCACCCCAACAGAGCUUCUAGAGUCAGCAAGAGAUCCUCAAAUUAAGAUGGAGUUCCAAGGCAAAGAUUAAAUGUGUAUCACCUGGUAACAUAGGCUAAGCUGAGGAAGCCAAGUCAAACCUAUGUGAAGACCCUUCUAGAAAGCAUAAACUUGUAGUCUCAUGGAAGCCUGAUGGGCCCAAAGAAUCUGAUUACAUAAAGAGGCAGGUCUAAAAAGGAGUCAUGAGUGCGGCUUUGACCAGUGGAGUUGACUCGCUUCAAAUUUAUAGAUAAUCCAUAAAGUUCUGAAGAAAGAACCAGUCUGAACUAAAAGAAACAGAGGCUGUUGGGGAUUUGAAAAGGACUUUAGGCCUUCAAAUUUCUACAAUCAAGAAGUAGGCUGCAAAGACGGCCCAGCAAUCAAAAGAGAACAUAUUUUCCCAAGGCUUCAUCAGGAGUGGACAAUGAGGAUGAUGGAUAGUGGUGUAGCUCAUAGCAGAUGCAACCAAAGUCUGGGUAAUAAACAACUAGAGAUGCACUUCUGAAGCAUCGGGUGGAUCAACAGAUACUCCCUGUCCCAAAGUAUGGUGGGUUGGCAGUUUGAUCAACAGAUAUUCCCUGUCCCAAAGUAUGGUGGGUUGGCAGCAUUUGAUCAGUUGGAUUUUCAGAAUUGCUAUUGGAGCAACGGCUUCUGUGUGAUUAGCCUGUUCUACCAUUUGUAUACUGGGUACACUGGGUGGGACAGAGGGGAGGAGGUUCAGGGUUACUUUUUUUUUUUUUUCCUAAUUGACCUACUGUACUCUUUUAUUUUCUUUAUUUUUUUAAUUUUUAUUUUUGAGAGAGACAGAGAGCACAAGUA